UACGUAGGGGGCAAGCGUUGUCCGGAAUCAUUGGGCGUAAAGCGCGUGUAGGCGGCCCGGUAAGUCCGCUGUGAAAGUCGGGGGCUCAACCCUGGGAUGCCGGUCGAUACUGCCGGACUAGAGUUCGGAAGAGGCGAGUGGAAUUCCCGGUGUAGCGGUGAAAUGCGCAGAUAUCGGGAGGAACACCUAUGGCGAAGGCAGCUCGCUGGGACGUUACUGACGCUGAGACGCGAAAGCGUGGGGAGCAAACAGG
This 253-nucleotide ribosomal RNA is filed under the name uncultured bacterium. RNAcentral describes it as "partial 16S ribosomal RNA". It matches the Rfam family "Bacterial small subunit ribosomal RNA", at positions 524 to 776 of the family's 1533-position model. The record is from RNAcentral.